GGACCCGCACAAGCGGUGGAUUAUGUGGAUUAAUUCGAUGCAACGCGAAAAACCUUACCUACCCUUGACAUGCUAGGAAGCUCGCAGAGAUGUGAGUGUGCCCGAAAGGGAACCUAGACACAGGUGCUGCAUGGCUGUCGUCAGCUCGUGUCGUGAGAUGUUGGGUUAAGUCCCGCAACGAGCGCAACCCUUGCCAUUAGUUGCUACAUUCAGUUGGGCACUCUAAUGGGACUGCCGGUGACAAACCGGAGGAAGGUGGGGAUGACGUCAAGUCCUCAUGGCCCUUAUGGGUAGGGCUUCACACGUAAUACAAUGGCCGGUACAGAGGGCUGCCAACCCGCGAGGGGGAGCAAAUCCCAGAAAGCCGGUCGUAGUCCGGAUUGUUCUCUGCAACUCGAGAGCAUGAAGUCGGAAUCGCUAGUAAUCGCGGAUCAGCAUGUCGCGGUGAAUACGUUCCCGGGUCUU
RNAcentral lists this ribosomal RNA (465 nucleotides) under uncultured bacterium. RNAcentral's name for it is "bacterial SSU rRNA". It matches the Rfam family "Bacterial small subunit ribosomal RNA", at positions 917 to 1382 of the family's 1533-position model. The record is from RNAcentral.